Molecule: long non-coding RNA, 3961 nt
Organism: Lepus europaeus (European hare)
Lineage: Eukaryota; Metazoa; Chordata; Mammalia; Lagomorpha; Leporidae
Exons: 6
Source: RefSeq, a predicted model, not a curated record
CCGGGGCACAAGACAGAGAGGCCAGGUCACGUCUCUGCAGUUACACGGCUCUGAGUGCCUGCUGGGGUGGAACCUGGUCUGUCUGUCUGUCUAGCACCACAGCUCGGGCACAGCGGCCGAGGGGCAGAGGCUGGGCGGGGGCUGUCUCCCUGGUUGCACUGAGGCUAGGGCGGCGAAGCAGGCUCAGCGUGGGCGUUGACCCCCCUAGCCAGGGGUGAGGUGGGCUCUGCAGUGGGAGCAUAGCUGCUCCAGCCGUGGGCUCAUGCUGCCUUGUGGCCAUGAGCACGGGGGCGAUGGCGGCACAGAGUACAGGGCUCCGGGUUCGAGUCACGGCCCCGCCCCACCCCAGCCCUUCCCCGUGGGCGUGUUCUCCAUUGAGCUUGGAUAUCUCACUCUCUGCUGUGGCUUUUUUCAGUUCUCAGCUGAAACUUCCUGCAGAGGCCCAGUGAGCCACUGACCCCUGGGAAGCAUUUGUUUAAGAACGCGAGUGAGCAUUGAGAUCUUAGACGUGCCGGAGGGCCAGGGAGGUGUGCAGGACAGUCUGCUGAUUGCGUUCUUCUAAGGUAGAAGAGACAGGCUGGGUGAGAGAACGGGGACCCUGGAGUGGACGCAAGGACCCUCUUCAGACAGAGACCCUGCUGUGCCCUGUGGCAGAGGAGCCCCGAGCCCAGCCAUGGAGUGCAGAGUGAAGAUUAUGGCUGAUUGAAUUGGCCUCCGCUGAGGAAGAUUUUGAUGGUUGCCCUUGUGGAAUGGCCGUGCGAGAUGCCCUCAUCCGCUUAGGAACACGAGCUUGGUUGUUGUCCUGUUGAGUAAUGAGUGCGGAAGCCGAUGUAAGUAACAAAGUGAUCGCUUCUUGUUUGGUGGUUUGUCUUGGGUGUUGACUCUGUUAUUGAAAAUAGAUAAAUAGCCAGACGUACAAGUGAAAUGAAUGAAGGUUGUUGUGGAUGGAUGUGGGGCAUCUGUGGUCCAUAAAGGAGGUAAAAGCAAGACCGUCUAGUGAUGUUCAUAGUUAAUUACCCAGUUAAUUAAUACAAAAAUUAACCAGUUUUAUUUUUGAGUCACAUUGGAUUUAAACCUCCCUCUAUUCAUAAACUCGUAGUCCGGCCACAUUCCAAGAUGGAAGACACAGUCGCUACAUUAAGUGCUGUGUAAAAUGGUGGGUUCAUAGGUUUUAUUUGUCUCUAAAAUAGGGCCAGGGUGUCCCUGGCCCCUGGGUGUGUGAAAGCAUGCUGCACAGGGACUAAGAGUGGGGUUUUGUGUGGUGUGAACCAAGGGUUGUGAUCAGUCCAGGUCACGUCAGUCACCUCCAUUACCGUGCCAAGAGCGGGAUUUGGUGUGGUGUGAACCAAGGGUUGUGAUCAGCCCAGGUACACAUCAGUCACCUCCAUUACCGUGUGGGAAACGAGUCCUAGACACACAUUGUAGUGGUCAAUGAAGUUUUUCACAUUUUUGGGGGUAUUGAUAGCAUCAUCAUAAGCACAUUAGUGAUUGAAUCAAUAUGCUAAUGUAUGAAUGAGGGGGGAAAAGCAGUCUGGGAGUGUCUAAUGAAACAGUGAAUAUUAUUCAAAUAUUUCUGAGUCAUUGAGGUCCACUAUGUUACCUCUUUGGGUAAGGAACAUAUCGACAGAUGAGCUUUGCAUUUUAUUGUGAACAAAAAGGAACAGGAAGAAGCUGUUAAAUAAGUAAGUAAAAGAUGAACCCAGUAGCUAAACAAAAGAGGGUCAGAUAAUGACCAUAUAGAAGUGCAGGUUGUAGAAUAAGAAAAUGACUUGUUCCAUUUUAUCUACGUGCUGUCUAGGAACAACAGAAAGAACUGGUUCUGUCCACUGGUCCAUAGGUGUAGACAGAUGGACUUCUGUUCUAGCUCUGAGUUGGUGGUGUGUUUAUUUUGUUCAUUUUCUUUAAAUAUGUGAAUAGAUGAUUAAGUGAAGCCACAAUAGAGUACGUACACAAAGCCACAGCCCGAGAGGUUUACCAGCGGCACAUACAGAAGCUAUGGGAAGUGUGGCCGUCGGGGACAAUGUGUGAGGAGCAACAUUUGGAUUUGUUCUCUUUAAAUGCAGUCCGUUCAGAAGUAGACGCAAAUUAGCAUCUCCAUGGGAAGAGGUCAUCCAAACAGCUUUUCAUAGAACAUAAAAUUCGCCUAUGAUGUUGGAAUACAUUGUACUUAAACGGCUAAAAAUUAACUUUGUGCUAGUCACAGGCCAAUCCUAAGCCAGUCAGAAAAUUCUCUCGCAAGUCAAGGAUUUCGGUUAACCCCCCGGUACACGCCACCCAUCACAAGGGAAAGUCACGGGGGCUUCCCUCUUCCCAGCGUCUCGGUGGAACUCCACAGGCUGGCCGCAGGUGGGCUGUCUUCAUUAUUCUUCCCGGAUGACCUUCUUGGUGGUUUCCUGUGUGGAGCUGGACGGCAUAGGCCGACGUUACGUGAUGGUGUGGUGACUCUUAAGUCUAACAGCAAUGAUCUUGUAUUAGACUUGAGUUAAUGAGUUUUGAUUUUUUUUUUCAACACCUUUUUUUUAAUGCUUUCAUGCAUUCCUCAGACAUUUAUCAAGCUCUUGGUAAACCUUAUCGCAGAACAGAGAUCGAACCAAUAGUUUAUAAUUCAGCCAAGAAAGAAUCAGUGGCCAAUUACGAACCAAAAAUGGAGACGUAAGUAUUAUCUCUCUCUCUCUCUUUUUUUUUUUUUUUUGAUUGGUUGGUGCUUAAAGCCAGGAGGCUGGAAGCCACCAGAGUAUCUUAUUUUCUUUUCUUUUUUUCUUUUUUUUGAUUUUUUAAAAAACUUUUAUUUAAUGAAUAUAAAUUUCCAAUGUACAGCUCAUGGAUUACAAUGGCUUCCCCCUCCCAUAACUUCCCUCCCACCCGCAACCCUCCCCUCUCCCGCUCUCUCUCCCCUUCCACUCACAUCAAGAUUCAUUUUCAAUUCUCUUUAUAUACAGAAGAUCAAUUUAGUAUACAUUAAGUAAAGAUUUCAACAGAGUUUUGAUUUUAUUAUUAUAAAUGGAUCAAUCGUAGAGCGAAUAAGUGAAUAAAUGAAAAAGUAAAUGCGUGGAGUGUUUCCAAAUGUGAAUCUAUGUGGUGAGGCAACCGAUGCUAUUAACACAAAUAAAAACGCUAAAGUCGUACAGAUAUGUGGAGCGAGGAUUUGAUCUCUCUGUCUGGGUAUCUUGAAGACAUUGCGUGUAAGCGAAAGCCCAGAUUGUUCCGUGUCAGCCAUGUCGUUAAUUUUAUUAGGAGAACAAUUUGUUCGUAUUACCAUUACCACAGAUAGUCAGAGGAAAGGGUAGUAUGUCGCCUGUAUGAGGCCACAUGAGGCACGGUCAGUUUCUUAGCUGCUGCUCUGCCUUCCUUGGGGUGAGCGUCCUCCGUCUGAUUUCAGAGCUGCGCCCCAACCGUGAACUCCGUGGCUGCCUCUCUGCCUCACCGUGCAGACUCCUGUGAGUAAUGGUCAACACUCUGUCCUGCCGGAUUAGAGUCUCCUGCGUCAUGAAGAAGUAGGAUACAGUGAAAUAAGGCCUACCUCUUACCGUCAUUCUUACUCAUGUUCCUGGGAGCCCUGCGAUUAUUCCUGAACCGAUGAGUUAGUCGGUCAGCACAGGUGGGAGCCAGCAGGGCAGAGGGCCGCGCUGGGUCGGUGAUGAUGUCUGGUGGCGGAUGUCGCGGGUGACGACUGCUGGUCUGGAAGCCUGAGGUCCAGCACGGUCAGAGUAGAGUCCGUACUCCUGAGGCCGCGUUAGGUGUGAAAAUAUUCCAGGAUGCUGUUCUUGGCGUUUGUGUCCACGCAUUUGAAUUUUUAUCAGUGGAUCAAUGAGAGCUGCGCUGCCGCGUGGACCACGUCCUCCUCCAUGGCCACAGCUGUGCAGUGUCACCUGUGUCCCGCGCCACAGGUGGAGAGCUUGAUUGGAAGAGGAGCCGCUGGGACAGGAACCGGCGGUGCCCAUGUGGGAUACCUGUGCUGCAG